UACGUAGGGGGCAAGCGUUGUCCGGAAUCAUUGGGCGUAAAGCGCGCGUAGGCGGCCCGGUAAGUCCGCUGUAAAAGUCCAGGGCUCAACCCUGGAAAGCCGGUGGAUACUGUCGGGCUAGAGUCCGGAAGAGGCGAGUGGAAUUCCUGGUGUAGCGGUGGAAUGCGCAGAUAUCAGGAGGAACACCGAUGGCGAAGGCAGCUCGCUGGGACGGUACUGACACUCAGAGACGAAAGCUAGGGGAGCAAAUGGG
This 253-nucleotide ribosomal RNA is filed under the name uncultured bacterium. Its description in RNAcentral is "partial 16S ribosomal RNA". It matches the Rfam family "Bacterial small subunit ribosomal RNA", at positions 524 to 776 of the family's 1533-position model. The record is from RNAcentral.